CUCUCUCAAAGCAGCCUCAUCAAUUUGGAUGACGGUAAUGCCAGCCUUCUCGAGAUCCUCCACUUCGUCCUUGAUGGCCAAAGCAAUCUGAUAGCAGGUUUCAAAUCUGAAAAGAAGCCAUAUAAAUCAUGCAAACUAUUAUUAGUUUCAGAGAGAUAUACAUCUUUCUUAAGCCGCUUUUUAUGAGUUUUCUUAAUACCUGGGCUGGUCAUUUCGCACGAAGGACCAGUUCAGAAUAGUAACAGGGCCAGUAAGCAUUCCCUUCAUUGGGCGAGCAGUCAUGCUCUGAGCCAUGGUGGACCAGAAGACUGUCAUUGGCUUGGGUCGGCUCACAUCACCAUAGAUGAUUGGUGGCUUCACACAGCGAGAUCCAUAGGAUUGCACCCAUCCAUUGGCAGUGAAGGCAAAACCAGACAACUGCUCUCCA
Molecule: long non-coding RNA, 427 nt
Filed under: Vitis vinifera (wine grape)
Lineage: Eukaryota; Viridiplantae; Streptophyta; Magnoliopsida; Vitales; Vitaceae
Description: long non-coding RNA (VVIN_LNC002367)
Source: RNAcentral